AAUUCUCAACCAUUCUCUCUUUUCUGGGAGUAUGGCUUGGACUUGGGGGUUGCUGGCAGCACUGUCAGCUCUCCUUAAAUGUAUUAGCAAUCGAGUUGGCUAGUCUUUUGACGUACACGGCCUCGGACGUGAUAAUGAUCGUCGUGGCUGGAGCGUCUUUCCUAGACUAUGUACAUAGAUCGCUUCUAAUCUGUUGUCUAUCGAGCUUAGCUACUAGGUAGUCUUUUUGGCUGGCGAACGCAAGCGAGACAUUCACAUUCUCAGAG
RNAcentral lists this unclassified non-coding RNA (266 nucleotides) under uncultured Boletaceae. RNAcentral's name for it is "sequence contains ITS2". Lineage: Eukaryota; Fungi; Basidiomycota; Agaricomycetes; Boletales; Boletaceae. The record is from RNAcentral. RNAcentral also lists the same sequence under 1 other name.